AGUGAACGCUGGCGGUAGGCCUAACACAUGCAAGUCGAACGGCAGCACAGUAAGAGCUUGCUCUUACGGGUGGCGAGUGGCGGACGGGUGAGGAAUACAUCGGAAUCUACUUUUUCGGGGGGGAUAACGUAGGGAAACUUACGCUAAUACCGCAUACGACCUACGGGUGAAAGAAGGGGAUCUUCGGCCCUUGCGCGAUUGAAGGAGCCGAUGUCGGAUUAGCUAGUUGGCGGGGUAAAGGCCCACCAAGGCGACGAUCCGUAGCUGGUCUGAGAGGAUGAUCAGCCACACUGGAACUGAGACACGGUCCAGACUCCUACGGGAGGCAGCAGUGGGGAAUAUUGGACAAUGGGCGCAAGCCUGAUCCAGCCAUACCGCGUGGGUGAAGAAGGCCUUCGGGUUGUAAAGCCCUUUUGUUGGGAAAGAAAAGCAGCAGGUUAAUACCCCGCUGUUCUGACGGUACCCAAAGAAUAAGCACCGGCUAACUUCGUG
Molecule: ribosomal RNA, 492 nt
Filed under: uncultured bacterium
Lineage: Bacteria
Description: partial 16S ribosomal RNA
Rfam family: Bacterial small subunit ribosomal RNA
Source: RNAcentral